AAAAUGGAUAGCCCCUGGGUUUCCGUGUCCAACGUUUGACCGUCCGUCUUAUUUGAAAAAAUUAUGAAAAAAAUAAAAAGACAAGUCAUGCAUAAAGUAUUAAUCAUGUUUUAUCAUCUAACAAUAAUAAAAAUACUAAUUAUAAAAAAAAUUCAUAUAAGACAGACAGUCAAACGUUGGACACGGAAAUCUAGGGUUUAUUUUUUU
Molecule: microRNA precursor, 207 nt
Filed under: Oryza barthii
Lineage: Eukaryota; Viridiplantae; Streptophyta; Magnoliopsida; Poales; Poaceae
Description: MIR812 microRNA precursor family
Rfam family: MIR812 microRNA precursor family
Source: Rfam by way of RNAcentral